GGAUUCCCUAGUAGCGGCGAGCGAAGCGGGAAGAGCUCAAAUUUAUAAUCUGGCACCUUCGGUGUCCGAGUUGUAAUCUCUAGAAAUGUUUUCCGCGUUGGACCGCACACAAGUCUGUUGGAAUACAGCGGCAUAGUGGUGAGACCCCCGUAUAUGGUGCGGACGCCCAGCGCUUUGUGAUACAUUUUCGAAGAGUCGAGUUGUUUGGGAAUGCAGCUCAAAUUGGGUGGUAAAUUCCAUCUAAAGCUAAAUAUUGGCGAGAGACCGAUAGCGAACAAGUACCGUGAGGGAAAGAUGAAAAGCACUUUGGAAAGAGAGUUAACAGUACGUGAAAUUGUUGGAAGGGAAACGCUUGAAGUCAGACUUGCUUGCCGAGCAAUCGGUUUGCAGGCCAGCAUCAGUUUUCCGGGAUGGAUAAUGGUAGAGAGAAGGUAGCAGUUUCGGCUGUGUUAUAGCUCUCUGCUGGAUACAUCUUGGGGGACUGAGGAACGCAG
This 494-nucleotide ribosomal RNA is filed under the name Rhodotorula mucilaginosa. Its description in RNAcentral is "partial large subunit ribosomal RNA". It matches the Rfam family "Eukaryotic large subunit ribosomal RNA", at positions 72 to 563 of the family's 3401-position model. The record is from RNAcentral. Lineage: Eukaryota; Fungi; Basidiomycota; Microbotryomycetes; Sporidiobolales; Sporidiobolaceae.